GGGGGGGGGGGGGGGGGGGGGGGGGGGGGGGGGGGGGGGGGGGGGGGCGGUGGGGGGGGGGGGGGCGCGGGUGGCGGGCGGGGGGGUGGAGCGUGAGGGGCCUGCCCGUGCGUUGGGGGUAACUUCGGGCGAGUGGGGCUAGUCGCGCGUCGGAGGUGUUGCUGCCGUGUGGGGGUUGCAAAGGUACGGCGGGUGGGUAUGCAAUCGCGGCUGUUCGACUGGUUGUUGGGUCAGUGGCUUACAACGGCUUUGACGGUUAGCCGGCCUGAGAGGGUGACCGGCCACAUGGGGACUGAGAUACGGCCCAGACUCCUACGGGAGGCAGCAGUGGGGAAUAUUGCACAAUGGGCGGAAGCCUGAUGCAGCAACGCCGCGUGCGGGAUGACGGCCUUCGGGUUGUAAACCGCUUUCGCCUGUGACGAAGCGUGAGUGACGGGAAUGGGAAAGAAGCACCGGCUAACUACGUG
RNAcentral lists this ribosomal RNA (467 nucleotides) under uncultured bacterium. RNAcentral's name for it is "partial 16S ribosomal RNA". The stretch from base 62 to 467 matches the Rfam family "Bacterial small subunit ribosomal RNA", at positions 39 to 507 of the family's 1533-position model. The record is from RNAcentral.